AAGAGCUCUAAAAAGCUUCUGUGUUAAGAGUAUGCCGGGGAAGGUUUUCCGGUUUAUCCCGGAGGGCUUGUAGCUCAGUUGGUUAGAGCGCGCGCUUGAUAAGCGUGAGGUCGGAGGUUCAAGUCCUCCCAGGCCCACCAAUCACUCUAUCAAUUUCAUAAAGCGCUAGCGAGCUUGCUUAUAGGCAAGAAGUCUAUAAACCGAUAAAGCCUAUAAUUUUGUAAGAAACUUACAUAACUUUCUGGGAAAGGGCCUUAAGUACACUUGUAAAAGGACUGAAGAGUGAUGUGAACACUUAAAAUGAGGUUACUCUUUGAGAGGUCCGUAGAGAAAAGACAUUUGUUUUAGCAAGGUGUUUACAAAGGGCAUUAAGAGAGGAGCUUUACUGUUUGCUUUCAGCAAUUGAGAAUCAAAGCUCUUUAAAGGCAAAGUAUCCCAUUUAAAUUGGUCUUUCCUGUAAGUCUUCUUAUUUUGAGAGUUUGGAAUGGGUUAUGCUAUUUUAGGGGCCGUAGCUCAGCUGGGAGAGCACCUGCUUUGCAAGCAGGGGGU
This 549-nucleotide unclassified non-coding RNA is filed under the name uncultured Bartonella sp. RNAcentral describes it as "partial 16S-23S ribosomal RNA intergenic spacer". The stretch from base 64 to 137 matches the Rfam family "tRNA". The record is from RNAcentral. Lineage: Bacteria; Pseudomonadati; Pseudomonadota; Alphaproteobacteria; Hyphomicrobiales; Bartonellaceae.